GGGUACUGAUAUCCUUUAAAAUAACAGUAAGAGCGAAUCUCCCCUCCUGUCUUCUUGCGAGUACCGGCAGACCGGAGGAAAAUGGCGGGUCGUCAAAAGUCACCUGACGCCUAUUCGGAUCGACCCACGCAUCUUCGCUGUUCUUCAUCUGUUCCCUUGUGGCAAGGAGAUGGCUGAAUAAUGUAUCCUUCAUCACAGAUGGGAGCCCUCUCAAAGUCCAGGGAAGGUCACUGGGAAAGGACCGUAAAUAAAACUUGGACCAAAGUAUGACUAAACGACAGCAUCUGUGACAGUGGUCAGCCGUCUAUUCAUGGCUCUUAUUAGAUUAGACCUCAAAAUCAGAGCGUCAGCGUCAAAGAACAGGUUUUUCAAAUUGUACUUUAUACAUAAGCUCUAGCUUGUGUCAUAUCAUUGGUCUUUAAAUGAUUUCAGCUGCACUAUCUCCAUUGCUUGUUCUUCAUCAAAUGAAUAAAUAUUGAUGCAAA
Molecule: long non-coding RNA, 485 nt
Organism: Paramormyrops kingsleyae
Lineage: Eukaryota; Metazoa; Chordata; Actinopteri; Osteoglossiformes; Mormyridae
Source: RefSeq, a predicted model, not a curated record